Borealophlyctis nickersoniae is the source of this 92-nucleotide non-coding RNA. NCBI's taxonomy places the organism in Eukaryota, Fungi, Chytridiomycota, Chytridiomycetes, Rhizophlyctidales, Borealophlyctidaceae. The record is from the annotation of a GenBank genome assembly.
GGGCGCGUGGCCUAAUGGACAAGGCAUCAGACUUCUAAGGUACGAUUUGGAUUGGAAUCUGAGGAUUGUGGGUUCGAGUCCCACCGUGCUCG